GUCUACGGCCAGGCCACCCUGAAUGUGCCCAAUCCUGUCUGAUCUCAGAAGCUAAGCAGGGUCUGGCCUGCUUAGUACUUGGAUGGGAGACCACCUGGGAACACCAGGUGCUAUAUGCU
This 119-nucleotide ribosomal RNA is filed under the name Pteropus vampyrus (large flying fox). Lineage: Eukaryota; Metazoa; Chordata; Mammalia; Chiroptera; Pteropodidae. The record is from RNAcentral.